RNAcentral lists this ribosomal RNA (545 nucleotides) under uncultured bacterium. Its description in RNAcentral is "partial 16S ribosomal RNA". It matches the Rfam family "Bacterial small subunit ribosomal RNA", at positions 355 to 914 of the family's 1533-position model. The record is from RNAcentral.
UGGGGAAUAUUGCACAAUGGGCGAAAGCCUGAUGCAGCAACGCCGCGUGAGUGAUGAAGGUCUUCGGAUUGUAAAGCUCUGUCUUUUGGGACGAUAAUGACGGUACCAAAGGAGGAAGCCACGGCUAACUACGUGCCAGCAGCCGCGGUAAUACGUAGGUGGCGAGCGUUGUCCGGAUUUACUGGGCGUAAAGGGUGCGUAGGCGGAUGUUUAAGUGAGAUGUGAAAUACCCGGGCUUAACUUGGGUGCUGCAUUUCAAACUGGAUAUCUAGAGUGCAGGAGAGGAGAAUGGAAUUCCUAGUGUAGCGGUGAAAUGCGUAGAGAUUAGGAAGAGCACCAGUGGCGAAGGCGAUUCUCUGGACUGUAACUGACGCUGAGGCACGAAAGCGUGGGUAGCAAACAGGAUUAGAUACCCUGGUAGUCCACGCCGUAAACGAUGAGUACUAGGUGUAGGAGGUAUCGACCCCUUCUGUGCCGCAGUAAACACAUUAAGUACUCCGCCUGGGAAGUACGAUCGCAAGAUUAAAACUCUAAAGUGAAUUGAC